This 1062-nucleotide long non-coding RNA is filed under the name Felis catus (domestic cat). RNAcentral describes it as "lncRNA (ENSFCAG00000051600.1)". The record is from RNAcentral. Lineage: Eukaryota; Metazoa; Chordata; Mammalia; Carnivora; Felidae.
AUGACAGGCAUCGGAAUAAGGCACUCAGCGCCGUGUCUGUCACACAGGUGUUCGGUCAUGCUCCCUCCUCCCUGCUUCUUCCUCGCAACAGUGGUGGGUCACGGAGGCCCAUAUCGGGACGGCUCGGCAACCUUCACACGGGCCGCGGUGGACUGUCACGACGGGUCACCCCGGACCCAGCAGCCACCCCACGGCUGCCUUUGGCCAAACGGGGCCUGUCGCUUCUCACAACCUGCUAUGGCAGAGACUCCUGUCCCCGGGGUGAAGAAGCGUGGCUCCGGCAGAAGCCACUCCACAGCCCGACGAGGCUCCCAAUGUGAAAAUCUGGAAGGUUCUCCCCGUCUGACUUGGCUCCUGCUAUUUACCGCAAAGAGUCAAAUGAGAUCUGCCCCCUCCCCCCUCCCCUUUCACGUGCAAAAGCCAUACUUAUCUGCGUGCGAUUCCCUGUCACCUGAAGACACAAUUAAUGCUGUCCGGGGACCCAGUAGUUCACGUUUGUGCACAGUGACUGUUUCAGCAGAGGGCCGAGAAGAAACCUGGGCUGCGCGUGUCUCUGGGCCGCGUCUGCUCAGCCUUUGCCACGGAGAAGUGGUCCCACGAAGCCGGGCCCUUUGCUCCUGUCCCGCUUCCGGCUGCGCGCUCAGAGCCUGGUGGCUUCCAGGGCUCGCAGGUCAGAGUCUGGGUCAGGCACGCAUAACGAUGGGUUCAGGGCUUCCUGCGAGCUGGGCCGGAGGUGAGGGGCCACCUCCUGUUCCCUGGCCAUUGCUGUCAAACCAGAUUUUCCAGAAGCUUCUGAAGCACUGCUGGCAGCCUCACCUCUCACCUAGCUGGCUAGGCCAGGCAGGAUGCCACGGGCUGUGGGUCUGGGCCCCCCCGUGGGGGCCCCCUGUGCCCUCCUCCCUCAGGGGUAACCUCGGCCCUUGUGCACCGAGUUCCCGCUCCUCUGAAAGAAGAGAUCUGGUGACUGCUCGUCAAAGCUGCUGGUGCCCAUGGGCUCCCGUCCAGGGCUCACCUCGCAGCGAGGACUUCCGAUCAGUUUCUUUUCAAAAAAAUUUUUUUUAA